AACCUUUACAAUGCACGGAAGUGUGAUAAGGGAACUCCCAGUGCUUAUGCAAUGCAUAGGCUUUUGUCAAGUGUAAAUAGCUUGGCGAAUAAGUGGUGGGCAAGACGGGUGCCAGCCGCCGCGGUAACACCUGCGCCACAAGUGGCAAUCGUAUUUAUUUGGCCUAAAGCGUCCGUGGCUGGUUAAGUAAAUCUCUUGUGAAAUCGUUGGGCUU
RNAcentral lists this ribosomal RNA (214 nucleotides) under uncultured archaeon. Its description in RNAcentral is "partial 16S ribosomal RNA". It matches the Rfam family "Archaeal small subunit ribosomal RNA", at positions 345 to 560 of the family's 1478-position model. The record is from RNAcentral.